AGCUCCUCAUUGCCUUUUGGCUUUGAUCAAGUGUAGUAACUGUUCUUUUUGGUUUAAUCUCCAAAACCGCCCCUACGGGGGUGAGACACGAAGAUUAGUUUUUGGAAACCGUCUCUGAGGCGCUGGGCUCCGCUCAUCUUCAGAGGCACAGUGUCGCCCGUAUUGCACUGCCUCGGGCUGACGCGACCCUCA
This 192-nucleotide small nuclear RNA is filed under the name Diplodia seriata. Its description in RNAcentral is "U2 spliceosomal RNA". It matches the Rfam family "U2 spliceosomal RNA". From Rfam's summary of the family: U2 is a small nuclear RNA (snRNA) component of the spliceosome (involved in pre-mRNA splicing). Complementary binding between U2 snRNA (in an area lying towards the 5' end but 3' to hairpin I) and the branchpoint sequence (BPS) of the intron results the bulging out of an unpaired adenosine, on the BPS, which initiates a nucleophilic attack at the intronic 5' splice site, thus starting the first of two transesterification reactions that mediate splicing. Lineage: Eukaryota; Fungi; Ascomycota; Dothideomycetes; Botryosphaeriales; Botryosphaeriaceae. The record is from Rfam by way of RNAcentral.